CACGUAGGGUGCGAGCGUUGUCCGGAAUUAUUGGGCGGAAAGAGCUCGUAGGCGGUGUGUCGCGUCGGCCGUGAAAACCUGCAGCUUAACUGUGGGCUUGCGGUCGAUACGGGCAUCACUGGAGUUCGGCAGGGGAGACUGGAAUUCCUGGUGUAGCGGUGAAAUGCGCAGAUAUCAGGAGGAAUACCGGUGGCGAAGGCGGCAUCCUGGACCGGCAUUGACGCUGAGGAGCGAAAGCUAGGGGAGCAAACGGG
RNAcentral lists this ribosomal RNA (254 nucleotides) under uncultured bacterium. RNAcentral's name for it is "partial 16S ribosomal RNA". It matches the Rfam family "Bacterial small subunit ribosomal RNA", at positions 524 to 776 of the family's 1533-position model. The record is from RNAcentral.